RNAcentral lists this ribosomal RNA (301 nucleotides) under uncultured bacterium. RNAcentral's name for it is "partial 16S ribosomal RNA". It matches the Rfam family "Archaeal small subunit ribosomal RNA", at positions 459 to 759 of the family's 1478-position model. The record is from RNAcentral.
CAGUCGCCGCGGGAAUACCAGCAGCCCAAGUGGUGGUCGCGAUUAUUGGGCCUAAAGCGCUCGUGGCCGGGCCGGUAAGUCCCUUGUGAAAUCGGACGGCCUAACCGUUCGGCGUGCAAGGGAUACUGUCGGUCUUGAGGCCGGGAGACGUCCGAGGUACUCCGGGGGUAGCGGUGAAAUGUUCUGAUCCUCGGGGGACCACCGGUGGCGAAGGCGUUCGACGAGAACGGGCCUGACGGUGAGGGGCGAAGGCUAGGGGAGCAAACGGGAUUAGAUACCCGUGUAGUCCCUGUCUCUUAUA